Molecule: long non-coding RNA, 1326 nt
Filed under: Anser brachyrhynchus (Pink-footed goose)
Lineage: Eukaryota; Metazoa; Chordata; Aves; Anseriformes; Anatidae
Description: lncRNA (ENSABRG00000020555.1)
Source: RNAcentral
CCCCUCCCACAUCCCUCUCCCUCCCCCUGCACCCCCACCCCUGCAGCGUCGCCUCCUUGGGGUGCCCUGGGGGGAGGGGGAUGGGACACACAGUGAGGGGCUGCCUGGGGGGCAGAGGGGAUCGGGGGGGGUUCCUGGGGUCUUCCAUUGCCGGGGAGGAGGCAGAGCAGCCAUCCACCGCCUCCUUUCCUCCGGAGCUCAUUGUUCACCAACAAAGCCCUUCCCAACCCCCCCCCGCCUCCCCGAGCAUCUCUGGGCCACGCAAGGGGCCCUGGGGGGCUGCGGUGCCCCCCGCGUGGGGCAGUGCCCCCCUGAUAAAUGGGGGGGGGGGGGGCGUGUGGGUGCCACCACCCCCCCGGCGCUGGCAGCGAUCCAUAAAAUGGCUUCGCCGAAUCUCUCGGCGGCGCGGGGCGGACGUGACCUACAUGGAGCCGGCACAAAGGCGGCCGCGAUGCUGCCACUGCCGCUCUCCCCUGUCCCCACGUCCCCACGUCCCCUCGUCCUGCGGGCGAAGCCACCGCGUGCCCCGAUCCGGGCGGCCGCGCGCCGCCGCUCCCCGGGCACGAGGCCACCGUCGAGCACAAAGCGCGGCCGGCCCUGCGCCGGGGGGGUGGGUGGCGGGACCGAAUCCCACCUUUGGGGCUCGGAGAGGGGCUUUGGGGCGCACGCCGAGAAGCACCGGGCCCCAAAAAAACGAGCCCACGGCAGGCAGGGAGACGCUGGAGCAGCCGCAGCGUGGGAGCCGCGGGGCACGUCGCCGGCGUGCCAAGUCAGGCCGGCGCACGCCGGGCGCGGGAUCAGUGCGAGCAUGCCCUGCCGCGGCACAGCCUGCGUGAAAAAGCACCGGGGGAAUUUUUUUUUUAUUUAUUUUUUAAAUUAUUUAUAUAUUUCAAGGUUGCAGCUUAACCCUUAUCUGCGCGCGGGCAGCGACCUUGCAGCCUUUCUCCUCUCGGAGAAUAAAUCCUGCGCUGCCAAGCGGCUCCCUGAAAGAAAGAGAUUGCUGCAGAGGAGACGGGCAGCCGUGCCCGGGCGCGGGGGCUCGGGGAGGAGGAGGAGGAGGAGGAGGAGGAUGGCGAUGAUGGCGAUGGCGGCGCGAAGCUGCCGCAGCGCUGUGGGGGAAGGGUUGCUGCAGCCCUUUGUCACCGGAGAUGGGAAAACCAGAUGUGGGGCGAGGUGCAGGGCUGGGGGACGUGGAGAGGGGGCUGCGCUCGCCAAGCCGCCCGGCUUUGUGUGCUGCAGAGAGGGGGGGAGCCAAAUCUCCCCGGCAACAGGGGUCUCCCUGCUGUGCACGGGCCCUCUCCGAGAGAAAUAAAGCGGGGAGGGGGC